This 213-nucleotide ribosomal RNA is filed under the name uncultured bacterium. RNAcentral describes it as "partial 16S ribosomal RNA". It matches the Rfam family "Bacterial small subunit ribosomal RNA", at positions 524 to 735 of the family's 1533-position model. The record is from RNAcentral.
UACGUAGGGUGCAAGCGUUAAUCGGAAUUACUGGGCGUAAAGCGUGCGCAGGCGGCUUUGCAAGACAGAUGUGAAAUCCCCGGGCUUAACCUGGGAACUGCAUUUGUGACUGCAUGGCUGGAGUGCGGCAGAGGGGGGAUGGAAUUCCGCGUGUAGCAGUGAAAUGCGUAGAUAUGCGGAGGAACACCGAUGGCGAAGGCAAUCCCCUGGCCU